UACGGGAGGCAGCAGUGGGGAAUAUUGCACAAUGGGCGAAAGCCUGAUGCAGCUAUGCCGCGUGUAUGAAGAAGGCCUUAGGGUUGUAAAGUACUUUCAUCGGGGAGGAAAAAAACAAAACUAAUAAUUUUAUUUCUUGACGUUACCCGAAAAAGAAGCACCGGCUAACUCCGUGCCAGCAACCGCGGUAAUACGGAGGGUGCUAGCGUUAAUCAGAAUUACUGGGCGUAAAGAGCACGUAGGUGGUUUUUUUAAAGUCAGAUGUGAAAUCCCUGGGCUUUAACCUAGGAACUGCAUUUUGAAACUGAAAUACUAGAGUAUCGUAGAGGGAGGUAGAAUUCUAGGUGUAGCGGUGAAAUGCGUAGAUAUCUGGAGGAAUACCUGUGGCGAAAGCGGCCUCCUAAACGAAUACUGACACUGAGGGUGCGAAAGCGUGGGGAGCAAACAGGGAUUAGAUACCCGU
This 463-nucleotide ribosomal RNA is filed under the name uncultured bacterium. Its description in RNAcentral is "bacterial SSU rRNA". It matches the Rfam family "Bacterial small subunit ribosomal RNA", at positions 340 to 789 of the family's 1533-position model. The record is from RNAcentral.